AAUAGAUACCCGGGUAGUCCACGCCGUAAACGAUGAAUGCUAGGUGUUAGGGGUUUCGAUACCCUUGGUGCCGAAGUUAACACAUUAAGCAUUCCGCCUGGGGAGUACGGUCGCAAGACUGAAACUCAAAGGAAUUGACGGGGACCCGCACAAGCAGUGGAGUAUGUGGUUUAAUUCGAAGCAACGCGAAGAACCUUACCAGGUCUUGACAUCCCUCUGAAUCCACUAGAGAUAGUGGCGGCCUUCGGGACAGAGGAGACAGGUGGUGCAUGGUUGUCGUCAGCUCGUGUCGUGAGAUGUUGGGUUAAGUCCCGCAACGAGCGCAACCCUUGAUCUUAGUUGCCAGCAUUUCGGAUGGGCACGUCUAGGAUGACUGCCGGUGACAAACCGGAGGAAGGUGGGGAUGACGUCAAAUCAUCAUGCCCCUUAUGACCUGGGCUACACACGUACUACAAUGGCCGAUACAACGGGAAGCGAAACCGCGAGGUGGAGCCAAUCCUAUCAAAGUCGGUCUCAGUUCGGAUUGCAGGCUG
RNAcentral lists this ribosomal RNA (533 nucleotides) under uncultured bacterium. Its description in RNAcentral is "bacterial SSU rRNA". It matches the Rfam family "Bacterial small subunit ribosomal RNA", at positions 777 to 1307 of the family's 1533-position model. The record is from RNAcentral.